AUCACCGCGAUGAUUCAUCGGUAAUUUAUUGAUACGAAUAUGAAUAAAAUUAUUACAAGUGUGCGGAGUAAAUUAAAUGAAAAAAAAUAUUAAUAGCAUUGGAGCCUCUUAACAAGCCUCCUUAUCAGGCGACAGCAAUUAAAUAACCAUGGGAAAUAUUCCCAGCAAUUUUAUAAUUAAAUAUACUGUAAUUUCGUAAUACCAAUGUCAUCGAUAAUGAUGUAAAGUUUAAGUACAACUAAAUAAUUACCAGCAUUUCUGACCCAAGGUGGGUUCUUUCCACCACCGAACGGUGACAUGUUACUCAUCUUUAAUUAAUGAGUGUCAUCCGUCGUGACCGGAAAUGUUGACUAAUGUCGUCUGUGUCGCAAUUGGCGGAGAACUAACGAACUAACGUCCAUUGAACUCCAAAAAAGAAUAUUUUUUGAACAGCGUUGUAAAUGUUACGCAAUUACAAUAAAAACCAGCACGUGGCUGAGUUAUUUUCUAAGUAACAAUAAAAACUAAAAUAAAAUCCGGACAAUAGUAUUUAAAACCACAUUUGUCA
Molecule: long non-coding RNA, 547 nt
Organism: Cotesia glomerata
Lineage: Eukaryota; Metazoa; Arthropoda; Insecta; Hymenoptera; Braconidae
Exons: 4
Source: RefSeq, a predicted model, not a curated record